GUACCCGUAGCUCAAUUGGAUAGAGCACCUGACUACGGAUCAGGAGGUUGCAGGUUCGAGCCCUGCCGGGUACGCCA
This 77-nucleotide transfer RNA is filed under the name Verrucomicrobiota bacterium. Its description in RNAcentral is "Verrucomicrobia bacterium (marine metagenome) tRNA-Arg". It matches the Rfam family "tRNA". Rfam says of the family: Transfer RNA (tRNA) molecules are approximately 80 nucleotides in length. Their secondary structure includes four short double-helical elements and three loops (D, anti-codon, and T loops). The record is from RNAcentral. RNAcentral also lists the same sequence under 3 other names. Lineage: Bacteria; Pseudomonadati; Verrucomicrobiota.